Non-coding RNA from Trichonephila inaurata madagascariensis, 74 nucleotides. NCBI's taxonomy places the organism in Eukaryota, Metazoa, Arthropoda, Arachnida, Araneae, Nephilidae. The record is from the annotation of a GenBank genome assembly.
GCGUCGGUGGUGCAACGGUUGGGGCAUAGCUGCCUUCCAAGCAGUUGACCCGGGUUCGACUCCCGGCCGACGCA